Molecule: ribosomal RNA, 429 nt
Filed under: Bacteroidota bacterium
Lineage: Bacteria; Pseudomonadati; Bacteroidota
Description: Bacteroidetes bacterium partial 16S ribosomal RNA
Rfam family: Bacterial small subunit ribosomal RNA
Source: RNAcentral
UAGGGAAUCUUCCGCAAUGGACGCAAGUCUGACGGAGCAACGCCGCGUGAGUGAAGAAGGAUUUCGGUUCGUAAAACUCUGUUGUUAGAGAAGAACAGCGCAUAGAGUAACUGUUAUGCGUGUGACGGUAUCUAACCAGAAAGCCACGGCUAACUACGUGCCAGCAGCCGCGGUAAUACGUAGGUGGCAAGCGUUGUCCGGAUUUAUUGGGCGUAAAGCGAGCGCAGGCGGUCAAUUAAAUCUGAUGUGAAAGCCCCCGGCUCAACCGGGGAGGGUCAUUGGAAACUGGUUGACUUGAGUGCAGAAGAGGAGAGUGGAAUUCCAUGUGUAGCGGUGAAAUGCGUAGAUAUAUGGAGGAACACCAGUGGCGAAGGCGACUCUCUGGUCUGUAACUGACGCUGAGGCUCGAAAGCGUGGGUAGCAAACAGG